RNAcentral lists this transfer RNA (72 nucleotides) under Patescibacteria group bacterium. Its description in RNAcentral is "tRNA-Arg". It matches the Rfam family "tRNA". Rfam says of the family: Transfer RNA (tRNA) molecules are approximately 80 nucleotides in length. The record is from RNAcentral.
GCUCUUGUAGUUCAAUGGAUAGAACGCGGCCCUCCGGAGGCUGUAAUUGCAGUUCGACUCUGCACAAGAGCG